Alosa alosa (allis shad) is the source of this 435-nucleotide long non-coding RNA. RefSeq lists it as uncharacterized. NCBI's taxonomy places the organism in Eukaryota, Metazoa, Chordata, Actinopteri, Clupeiformes, Clupeidae. The record is from RefSeq and is a predicted model, not a curated record. The transcript has 3 exons.
CAACACCACACAGGCAACCAACUCAUUGCCCAGAGCUGGAUGGAUCUAUUAUAACGCCUGCCACUUCAUCUUGGGACCCAGUUGAAGCACAAGUGACUCAUCACACAGAGGGAGGUGGCUUGGCCAUGGAGACGGAAAUAAGAGCAAUAAGGACAACCAUUACCGCAUGGCACAGUGAAUGGACGCAUUUGAGGAGAAGAUGGAUGAGCUGCUCAUGCUCUUAAGGAGCUCCCAGUCACCUCCCUCUGCUCCAGUCGAUGACAUAUUGCUGUCGUCCUGCUCAACAGUCACUGAGCUGCAGGAGAGGAGGAACAAAAUGCCCUCCCUCCAGGACUUGUACUCUGGGACCUAAGCGGGCAGAGACCAUCACCAAAGACUCCACAUUUCCUGCACACACACUCUUUAACUUCCUCCCCUCUGGCAGGCGCUACAGAU